UACGGGGGGGGCAAGCGUUGUUCGGAAUUACUGGGCGUAAAGGGCUCGUAGGCGGCCAACUAAGUCAGACGUGAAAUCCCUCGGCUUAACCGGGGAGCUGCGUCUGAUACUGGAUGGCUUGAGUUCGGGAGAGGGAUGCGGAAUUCCAGGUGUAGCGGUGAAAUGCGUAGAUAUCUGGAGGAACACCGGUGGCGAAGGCGGCAUCCUGGACCGAAACUGACGCUGAGGAGCGAAAGCCAGGGGAGCAAACGGG
Molecule: ribosomal RNA, 253 nt
Filed under: uncultured bacterium
Lineage: Bacteria
Description: partial 16S ribosomal RNA
Rfam family: Bacterial small subunit ribosomal RNA
Source: RNAcentral